UCCACAGUCUGCCCCACGACCUCCCACAGUCCAUAGAAAGAGAAGGAGAAGAGCAGCUGUACAGCUUUUUCAAAUCAAAAAAGAAAAGGAGCUGAAAAUGUUUUCCGACACGGAACAAUGGCACAACAGAAUCAGGUUUCCAAAUGACCAUUUUAUGGUUUCUCUGUAUUUCAUCCUUGAGGCCCCCUUCAAAUUUAAUAAAUCCUCUUUAGAAUGACAUGCUGUCUUUGAGGAAGUGCUGGUGUAGAAUGUUGCUUGAGAACUCCAGCCCCAAGGGGUAAAUGAAAU
This is a long non-coding RNA of Erpetoichthys calabaricus (reedfish), 288 nucleotides long. RefSeq lists it as uncharacterized. The record is from RefSeq and is a predicted model, not a curated record. NCBI's taxonomy places the organism in Eukaryota, Metazoa, Chordata, Cladistia, Polypteriformes, Polypteridae. The transcript is spliced from 3 exons.